UUUUCCGGUUGAUCCUGCCAGACCCGACUGCUAUCAGAGUGGGACUAAGCCAUGCGAGUCAACAUAGCAAUAUGUGGCAUACGGCUCAGUAACACGUAGUCAACAUGCCCAGGGGACGUGGAUAACCUCGGGAAACUGAGGAUAAACCGCGAUAAGUCACUGCUUCUGGAAUGGGCAAUGACUUAAAUCUAUAUGGCCCCUGGAUUGGACUGCGGCCGAUCAGGCUGUUGGUGAGGUAAUGGCCCACCAAACCUGUAACCGGUACGGGCUCUGAGAGGAGGAGCCCGGAGAUGGGCACUGAGACAAGGGCCCAGGCCCUAUGGGGCGCAGCAGGCGCGAAACCUCUGCAAUAGGCGAAAGCCUGACAGGGUUACUCUGAGUGAUUUCCGUUAAGGAGAUCUUUUGGCACCUCUAAAAAUGGUGCAGAAUAAGGGGUGGGCAAGUCUGGUGUCAGCCGCCGCGGUAAUACCAGCACCCCGAGUGGUCGGGACGUUUAUUGGGCCUAAAGCAUCCGUAGCCGGUUCUGCAAGUCUUCCGUUAAAUCCACCUGCUUAACAGAUGGGCUGCGGAAGAUACUACAGAGCUAGGAGGCGGGAGAGGCAAGCGGUACUCGAUGGGUAGGGGUAAAAUCCGUUGAUCCAUUGAAGACCACCAGUGGCGAAGGCGGCUUGCCAGAACGCGCUCGACGGUGAGGGAUGAAAGCUGGGGGAGCAAACCGGAUUAGAUACCCGGGUAGUCCCAGCUGUAAACGAUGCAGACUCGGUAAUGAAUUGGCUUCAUGCCAAUUCAGUGCCGCAGGGAAGCCGUUAAGUUUGCCGCCUGGGGGAGUACGGUCGCAAGACUGAAACUUAAAGGAAUUGGCGGGGGAGCACCACAAGGGGUGAAGCCCUGCGGGUUCAAAUUGGAGUCAACGCCGGAAUCUUUACCCGGGGGGCGACAGCAGAAAUGAAGGUCAAAGCUGAAGACUUUACC
RNAcentral lists this ribosomal RNA (972 nucleotides) under uncultured archaeon. RNAcentral describes it as "bacterial SSU rRNA". It matches the Rfam family "Archaeal small subunit ribosomal RNA", at positions 1 to 972 of the family's 1478-position model. The record is from RNAcentral.